AUAUCUUUCUUUCUCUCAUAGUUGAGGGGAAUGCUGUCUGGUUCGAGACCAUUCAUUUGAAGAAUAGAAAAUCAUCUGAAUGAUCUCGGACCAGGCUUCAUUCCCCCCAACAAGGUGUGUUUUACCAUUCAAUU
This 134-nucleotide microRNA precursor is filed under the name Citrus sinensis (sweet orange). Its description in RNAcentral is "miR166g stem-loop (csi-MIR166g)". Its record names the gene csi-MIR166g. The stretch from base 21 to 111 matches the Rfam family "mir-166 microRNA precursor family". From Rfam's summary of the family: This family represents the plant microRNA (miRNA) precursor mir-166. Animal miRNAs are transcribed as ~70nt precursors and subsequently processed by the Dicer enzyme to give a ~22nt product. The record is from miRBase by way of RNAcentral. Lineage: Eukaryota; Viridiplantae; Streptophyta; Magnoliopsida; Sapindales; Rutaceae.